This 460-nucleotide ribosomal RNA is filed under the name uncultured bacterium. RNAcentral describes it as "partial 16S ribosomal RNA". It matches the Rfam family "Bacterial small subunit ribosomal RNA", at positions 338 to 795 of the family's 1533-position model. The record is from RNAcentral.
CCUACGGGUGGCAGCAGUGAGGAAUAUUGGUCAAUGGACGAGAGUCUGAACCAGCCAAGUAGCGUGAAGGAUGACUGCCCUAUGGGUUGUAAACUUCUUUUAUAUGGGAAUAAAACGUUCCACGUGUGGGAUUUUGUAUGUACCCUAUGAAUAAGGAUCGGCUAACGCCGUGCCAGCAGCCGCGGUAAUCAGGAGGAGCCGAGCGUUAUCCGGAUUUAUUGGGGUUAAAGGGAGGGUAGGUGGAAUGUUAAGUCAGUUGUGAAAGUUUGCGGCGCAACCGUAAAAUUGCAGUUGAAACUGGCAGUCUUGAGUACAGUAGAGGUAGGCGGAAUUCGUGGUGUAGCGGUGAAAUGCUUAGAUAUCACGAAGAACUCCGAUUGCGAAGGCAGUUCACUGGACUGCAACUGACACUGAGGCUCGAAAGUGUGGGUAUCAAACAGGAUUAGAUACCCGAGUAGUC